RNAcentral lists this microRNA precursor (173 nucleotides) under Physcomitrium patens. RNAcentral's name for it is "Physcomitrella patens miR1052 stem-loop (ppt-MIR1052)". Lineage: Eukaryota; Viridiplantae; Streptophyta; Bryopsida; Funariales; Funariaceae. The record is from miRBase by way of RNAcentral.
AUGGAGUGUGUUGAAUCCUUGGCCGUAUCCAUGCCGCAAUCAGUAAAAGGGAGUCACGCUGUGUUGUGAGCACUGCAGAGCCAGCAUUCGUGAGUCGAUAGUGAUACAUAUAGAUUGCUUGCUUCCUUUUAUUGAUUGUGGUAUAGAUGCGCUUGAGUGAUACCUUGUGUAAC